This 9267-nucleotide unclassified non-coding RNA is filed under the name Portunus trituberculatus (swimming crab). RNAcentral describes it as "protein tincar-like, transcript variant X2". Lineage: Eukaryota; Metazoa; Arthropoda; Malacostraca; Decapoda; Portunidae. The record is from RNAcentral.
UCAGCAGUGUUAGUGAGCAGCGGACGCUUCCUCACGCCUCACGCACCCCCGCCCUCUGCCGCGGCCGCGUAUCGAUCCCGUGUAGCGUGACAUCUUCCCAUGCCUCAGGUCACCAGUUGCCUGUUGCCGGUACCGGGUCAGGUCACAGUGCCAUGAGAGGUCAGAUUGGUAGUGAUUUUUUCAUAUGACCAGUGCACACCCGCGCCACGCUGUGUGCCCCGCGGCCUGCCCAGCCCCGCCCCUCCUACCCGCCGUGUGGGUGUUGACCUUGCGCUGAGUACUGACCUUGUGCGUGGGCCGUGACAGUGAGGUGGAGUGCCCCCUCCCCCACAUGGUAACUGGUGCCAUUGAUCUGCCGGGCAGGAGGCAGCAGCAGCAGCAGCAGCAGCAGCAGUUGUAAACUGAAGCAGUGGUGUCAAACUCGCCAGUGGCAGUGGUGUCCCGCCGCGCCGAGGACUCGCUGCUUGAUGCUGGUCACCAACGCACGGUCGCACUUUGAUGACCAUAAAUAACAGCCGCUGUACAUUUCCGGCCGUGGAUAUUCUUGACUUGAGGUGUGCGUGAGUGGGGGAGGGAAGGUAGACGGUGUGUGGGUGUGACGGCUCCCGAGUAAAGGUGUAGUGUGUGUUGCGAGGCGGUGUCGCGGGUGUGGUGCGGGUGUACUGUAUAGGUAGUGUGGUGAGGGGACAGCGGACGCCGUGCAUUCUCACCCGCCAGUGUCACCAUCUGGUCACCACAAUACAUGAUCAAUAGUUCUUGUGUGAGUGCCACCACACACUGCAGGAGGAGGCGUGGACAGCUUGGUAGGAGCAGCGCCGAGGAGCACCAGCAGAGUGGCAGCCGCGGUGUCGGCAGCAGAUGGUGGUGGCCCUCCUGGUGACAUUAAAGUGAUAGUAGUUGAAGAACCAGGAGCAAGAGACAGCGAGCACAGGGGACAGCGGCACCACCGUCACCAUACAGCAGGCUUUCUUUAGUACUCGCCUCCACCACCCCACCCCCCUCCUAUCGAGGCCCUCACGACCCUCACCAUGGCCCUCCAACACCCGCCACCCCCCGUCCCCCGCCGCCCUGACUGUCAAGUGCCCGCCAGGAAAGAGUAAUAACUUAUCCACGCCCGCUCCCACGCCCGCACCCACGCCUACCCACCUACAGUCGCCACCACCUCCAAUACCACCGACACCAUGCCGUCUUCGCCUCAGCGGCAGCAGCAGCAGCAGAAGCAGAAGCAGGACGCCCACGGCAGCCAGGACGCACGGAGGAAGCGUCGGUGUGGCUGCCAUCUGAACAGCCUCGGCAGCCUGGGUUACUGCGUGGUGGUGCUGGGACUCACUACCUACGUGAUCGCCACCGAAGCGCAGCAGUUCCUCAAGUACCUGAACCUCCCAUGGCCCCGCCACAGCCUCCCCAACCUCGAACUCAACGUCCAUAUCGGUUUGGUCGGAGCGGCAGCCGUAUUGCUCUUCUUCUUCUUCGGAGCAGCGGUAUUCAAGAUCGGGAACUUCGCUAACGACGGCUACAGACUCGGAGUGCAAGAUGGAGCAUGUUCCCGCGACGCCCCACCGCUUCCUGGCCCGGCUGGCGGCUUGGUAAGGGGCGCCUGGCUGCACGGAGGUCCCACGGCGCCCUUCCUCCAUCUGCUGGUCGCCCACUUGCUCAUCGUGGCUAGACUUGUGAUUGAGGCGGCAGCAAUCAAGGCCACCUUUCUGUCCGAGGGCACGGUGUGGUGGUCAGAGUUGUCCCGCGUGCUUCCUCAGCGGGAACGUCUGUCCAUCUUCAAUCUCCUGGCCACCUACGCAGGCACUCCCACGCCCGCCACCCCAGGUCCUGUGGCCAUGAGGUACGAGGCGUCCACGUCGGUGACCUUCCAGGCAAUGGACAUCACCACCCGCAGGGACGGCGAGGGCGGGGCGGACGGGGAGGAGGGUGUGGAGGAGGAGGACAUGUGGCACAUCGGAGAGAUCCCGUGGGGGCCCUUCUCGCCACACUUCUUUAACUACCUGCUGGCACACCUGGUCUACGCCGGCAGGUACGCCGGCGUGUUCUGGGGCACCAACAAGGCUCUCGGUCUGGUUUUCUUCUUCCAGCUGAUCCUGAACGCGGCGCAAAGUAUCUUUUCCAUCAACGGAUUUCAGGUUCUUUACAAGGUUCACGUGGUGGGCGCCGAGCACGUGCUGCCAGUGUUUGAGGGCUUCCUGCUGCCCCUCCCCGCCUGCGUCGCCGUCUUCACCGCCUCCCAGGUCAUGGUUCUCGCCUCUGGUUCCAUCAUUUACCUCUACGGCUUCGUCAAGUUUAAUUCUUUCCUGAGCGCAGAGAAGGAGAAAUAUCACAUCCUCAGCAAGCACGGCCACCAGGUGAGUACGCCUUGGAGCUACUGGCCUCACUGCUGGGCUCUGACGGUGCUCGUAGCGAUGACUGCAGCCGCCUCCCCGCUGGUGUAUGACUGGACUGUCGUGUAUCGUUCCUCCCUGGAUACUUCGGUCCUCGCUGCCACUAUAGCCACCAUCGCUCAUCUCUUUCUGUGGAUUCUCUUGUGGCUUGCUCUCACUCUGAAGUCCCGUUGGCACUUCAAGCUUCGAGUGCAGAUCUCUAAGACCAUCGUCACCAGCACGCACUCCAUCCGCCUGGUGAACGAGGUGCAGCUCUCUCGCCAGAUCGAAGACACGGAAGGCCCAGUGAUGGUGAUCGGUGCCGGCAAGACGUAUCUGCUGCAGGAGGGAAGUCCUAAACGAUCCCUCAUGAAGCUCGUAAUGCACACCGUCACUCAGAAGAAGGCCCGCGGGGAGGAGGAGGAGAUCUACUGGCUGCGCCCUAAGCCCCCCCAAGGUAGUUCGGGAUCCUGGCACAAGAGGAAGCAGUCCCCGGGCGUCAAACACAAGGUUACUUUCAACGAUACGCCCUCCACCUCCAGGAAACGAGACUCCGGGCGCGGCCAGUGUCCCGACGUGCUGGGCGACCUCACCGAGUCUGAAACUUCUGACAGCGACGGUGACUACGCGAGGCUGCGAGACGUGUCCUUCCCGGGGCCCACCAGGAAGCUGUCCAACAAGGUGAACGCGGCCCGGCAGAUUAUUUAUGUCUUACAGGAAGAGCAGGCUGAGGAAACUAACGCAGGAGGUCAGGCUGAAGUAUCCCAACCAGAGCCAGAGUCUUUGUCAGUGGGCGGAGACUUCCCAGCCCCGCCCCCCGAACUCACUGACCCCGCCCAUUAUCCACCCCCACCCUCCACGCCGCCACCACCCCUCCCGGCACCCCCCGAGGCCUGCAGUCCUCCUCCCGGCCCGCCAGCAGUCCCCCAACAUGCUCCACAGAUGCUUCAGCAGCAGCAGCAGCACCACCACCAACAACAACAACAGCAACAGCAACACAUAACCCAGGCGUCGCAGCAGCAGCAUCACAUCCAGCAGCAGCAUCACAUGCACCAACAGCACCAGCAGGUCCAACACCAGCUGCAGCAACAACAGCAGCAACAACAAAUGCAGCAACAUCUCCAACAACAACAACAUAUGCAGCAACAGCAACAACAACAGCAAAUGCAGCAACAACAACAAUUACAGCAGCAACAACAACACCAUCUCCACAGCCAGCACCAUCAGCACCCACAGCAGCCUCCCCAAGUACCACAGCACAUGACUCAGCCUCACUUACAGCAGCAACACCUCGCACAGCCUCACCCUCAGAUCCACGUGCUGCGGGGCACCUCUCAGGAGAGCAGCCCCGGCCGCAGCGGAGAGUCAAAUCUGGCGGUGGGUGAGGUGCCGCGUUGCUCGGACUCCUCCUCCACCGCCUCCUCCGUCAGCCCCCCGGACAAGCGCUGUGACUCUGGUAUCCACUCGCAGGCAUCCUACUCCUCCUCCUCCGCCUCUCACUCCAAGUCGGGCUCCUCUGGGUCGGAAAGCUGCGUGCCCAUCCCACCGGCGGGGCCACCCCGCUGCUCCAGCGUAGAUGACCUGUGCCGGACCCAGCCCCCGCCGCCGCCCCCGGAACCUACUGUGAAGAGCCUAUCCUUGCAAAGGGACACCGUGCCACCCACUGGCAAGGAGGCUCCUCCGGGAAAGGCGGGACGACUGAACAUUGAGGUGGUGGGCGGAGGCUACGGUUUCUUGCCACCCUCUAAGUUCGUGGCGUCCGAGCCGGUCUACAGCGACGCCUCCACGCCAGUGGUCAUCAAGAGACGAAGCUCCGUCACCGCCGUGGAACCCGACACGCCUCCCUACGAGCGCUCGGGCUCCUCCUUCAGCACCUUCACGGAGCCCCAGCUGCCUCGGGCGGUGCUGAAGGGCAACCCGUAUCCAGCCGCCAAGUCACAAACGGUUGCGGCUCACGGCCUGCGCGCCCGGCGGCUGCCAGCAGCCGACGCCAAGCACGCCACCAUCGCUGGGGUAGUGCCCCCCAAGGGCUUCCAUCAGCCGGGCCACAUCGACUCGCGCUACUUCUCUGUGCCCGCCGUCAAGCCGCCAGGUACCCGUGUGCACCCGGCGCCCACUCCCACCCUCUCCUAUCGCACCCCCUCCCUCCACUAACUCUCACGCCCGUACGGGAGUGAUGGCGUAAAGCAGUGACUCGUAGACAGCACUCUUAUCACCAGCUGACAGAAGAACCACGAAACCAAAGACCGCUGCAGGCUUGCCACCAGCUGACAGGAGAACCGAAGGAGGACUUCUCGCCGGUCAGUGCACAGAAGUCCCACUCACCGGCGCACCAGGGCAAAGAUGACUCACUAGGUAGCUGCUAACGAUAAGGCUUGUGAGAGGUACAUAUCGCGUGGCCCAACACAUCGCUGAACGUCACACCGCAGUGAUAGUUUCCCUUCCUAACGGCAGGUUAAUUUUUCAAGGCUUGAGAUUCCCGAUGUCAUGGACCCAGAACCCAGUAGAGCUUCGUGUGGCCCAGCCGAGGCGCUGAUGUCAGAGUGUGAGUGUUGUGUGUGCGAGGCUCCCUACCGCCUCGCAUUGCUGAAAGACUUAUGUACCCGCCUCUUGGAAAUCGUCAUAUUGCCUUAUGGUGUUGGGUUGCUAACCUAGAUUUAUGGCAAGUCAAUGUGAUGUACCAGUGAAGUGUAUUUCGUACUGAUAUAGAUGACAGUUUACGAUGUACGGAGGGCACAAAUUAAUGUAACACUUAUUUAGUUUAUUAUUACAAUUUAAGGCAACUGUGAAUGCUUCAUUUUGUAUGUUAAUAUUAAUUCAUGAUACAAGAAUAAUCCCAGUGUAGCUACACUAUAUACCGCUGAGUUUUCUCUCAUAUGUUAAGACACUUCUGGUCUGAGCGGCAGACAGUGGCGGUGACGCCGCAGCAGGGGAUGGCGCCGCUGCUCCUGGCCGGACUCUUGACGCACAUAAGGGGAAAUAAAACGCGAAGAGCAGCAGCAGCAGCAGCAGCAGCAGUAGCAGGAGCAGGGCCGUGGUGGUGGUGGCGCGCCCCACCUUGGCUCCUGUGGGGUGCAAGAAUGCCCUAGUCUUGCCCCGGGCAAAAGCAGUGUCAGCCUCUGGUGACUUUUCUAUCAAGUGUAAAGUUUAUAUUGUUUUAUUAAUUUAUAGUCUAGUUGAUAAUUGUUCUGUAAGGUUAUCAAAAAAAAAGAAAGAUUUGCGCGUUAGGAGAACUUGUACAUAAUACCACUACCAAAGAUUUCAUACAGUGUACAUAGUUACAACGAUAUGUAGAGCAACGCGUGCCCUCCCUCCCUCUCCCCUCCCGCGUGAAUGGUGCUCUCUGGAGAUGUCUGAAUCAAAAAUUUGUUAUUGAUCGUCUCUAGUUGAUGUACUUGAAUAAUACUUGUCCUGCGCCCGUGUGAGUGUGUGCGUGGGGAGGAAAGGACCAUCACCAGAUUAGUCACAUUCCGCGAUUCUUUGGUUUCCAUUGUUUUCCCUCAUCAUCACUGUCAUUUGUUCCCUAUAUUCCUAAAUCACAUUUUUUUUUCUGACGAUUUUACUCCCACAAUCAUUUACGUUUUCCCAUUUUUUUCAACUACAGCAACUAGUUAUUUCUUGACUAAAAACUUGAUAUAUCUUAAUGGUCCAUCCAUAAUCAGAAAGUGUUUUCUUUCCGAACUCUGCAUUACAUCCUUCACAUCUACAAGAUAUACAUACUCUCCCAUACUAGAGAAAGCACUCGCACGGUAACAUACUGUAUAAAGCUUUGUCCUAUACCGUGAGUCCUUAGCGUGUGGCGAACUCAGAAUAUACCACAGAAUCGAUUAUAUUUCCCAAUCAUUCGUCUGUGGUAGCCUGGCAUCGAUAUAUUCAAGAUUCAUGCCUUCAUCCCCGCCGCCGCUGACCCGCCAUAGCUCUCCAUAACAUGCCAUGAAGUAGACAAAGGACUGUAUUCAGAAACACUUCCAGCCGCACCUACACUAUUUUUAAAACUCUAAUUGAAGGUUCAUGGAUUUUUAAGGGUGUUUUUUUUUUUUUUUUUUAAUAUAUAAAAAAAAUUGUUUCUAAAGAAGAAACAGUUUUGGGAACCAGGCUAAUCAUCUCUGCAGGCUUUGGAAAUAGUCGUGAUGAGAGCAAAGUGUUCUAAAUACGCGCCAUUGUCUCACCUCCACUCCCUCCCCUUCACGUAUCGUAUUCGUCAUAUUGUCAUGUCAUGGACGAAGUUGAUAAGUGCUGAUAUGUAACGUACGUGAGAGGUAUUAUUCAGGUACAGUUUGUGACGGCUUGGAACGCUUCUUAUUUUUCUUUUUCUUUUUUUAUUUAACGAACAGCAAAUGCAAAGAAAGAAGACAAAUUGUUUAUAAGGAUAUUCAAGUCUAUCUUUAAACUAUAUAUAUUAUUGGAUAAGUUUAUAUAUAUAAAAAAGUGAUAUAUAUAUGUAUGGCUAUAUAGGUAAUACUACACACCUCGAUACGUACAAGAGCAGCGUGGUGACGUGAUGCCGGGGACCCGCCGUGGCCAGACCAUCCCGGCGCUGACCUGCACACCUGAAGGCGGGAUCCGAGACACGAGUGAGGACCGUGUGCGUGAAGUUCUCAUCGAUGCACAGACGGUGAUUUUUUAUUGGAUUUUUCAUGAGGCAAAUUCCGUUAGAGGUUUAUACGAGUGUUGGUAUUACCCUCAGAUUCAAGUAUGUUAUUUUAUAUAUUCAUGUAACGGCUGUUAAUCUGCAUUUAUAUAAGUCAUUCUAUAUUGUAUCGACUUUUUUUUUCUUCCAACUCCAAAGCGCCUCCCGAUAUCUGAUCAGUGCCAGACAGACGUGCAGUGUGAUCUAGUGAUUUUUAUACAGAUUAAUUGUAUCAUAAUGGAAGAUGUACUGGAAGACACAUUCGCAAUAUACUCAAGCCAACAACUGCCACUCGGCCACACGUACACGAGGAAGAAAGCUAGGUGUUCCCGACAACCCUCACACUACAUCACCGUAACUAGCGUAGCGUGUCAGGUGAUGUUCGCACCUGCACGCGUGUAUAUAGAACGUUUCCAGGACUGCAUUCAGGCGUACCUGCAUCACCUAAUGUAUGCUGAAGGAUGCAGAUAUUUUGUAUGUACUUUAUACAUAACUAUAUGUUCGUAGGGUGAGGAAAGUGGAAUGUAUGGCUAUUCUGUAUUCUCUCCCUCAGCGGUAAGAGUGAAGUGUGAGAAGGACAGUCAGCCUCGCACCCUUCUCCCUCCCAUGCCGGGGCUCGAGUGUACGGCUUCCCAUGCCCAGCCUCAGAGAAUUACGUUUACUUUUUUCUUAAUUCUUUUUUAAAGCCGUCUUGUCCUGAGCAUCCUCGCCGCGGUCGCUCUUGUUCUCGUUUACUUAUGCAAAUGUAUGGACAUGAGAUCCCAUCAGGCAAAUCUAAAUUUUCUUCUUUUAACAUUUGAUGAGUAAUAGGUACCUUAGUACAUAUAGAAUACAGAGAUCAAAGAAUCAGAGCAAUAUAAAAUUCCAUUCGUCCUCCUGUGCAUUGGUGAAGAAAUUCAAAUGUUAUGUUUGCUUUGUUUGGAUGCCACACUCUCAGUGCUGAGGUGCGAGGGUGAAGGGUGAGGAGAGGCGGCCAGGGAGUGUGACAGUGCCAGCAGCAACGACAGGUCAACAAGCCCACACUCACCACUACCGCAUUAGCUGCUGGAAGGCUGAGUCAGUUUAAUAUCCAUGACGAAACGGUUUGCGAUCGGUGGAAGACUGGAAACUCUUGUCACCAACCACCAGUCUCGUGCCGCAAAGAACACGUCAGAAGUUGAUGACUGCGCUAUGUAGUCGGACCAGGACCGGAUAUUGAGACAGAGGUCCAUUCGUCUGUAUGUAACUGAGCCUCGCCUCCAGUGCUGAUGACCAGAAGCCAACACAACUUGAUUUUUAUCUCUUUGUCAUCCAGGAACUGAAGUUUCCCCACGUUUGAAAUAUUUAACUCUGUGUACACUCCUAGUUGUACUAUAUCAUGUGCUGUACAUGAAUGUACUUCUCGUAGCUUAGAUGUCAAAAGUACAGUAUUACCAAUGUCUGUGAACCCUGCCUUUGGAAACAUGUCACUGACUCGGGUACAGAAUCCUCCUUGGAGUAUCUGUGUAUAAAAGGUAACUAAAUUAUCGGUCAUAAUUCACAACCCAACGAGGCAUCCAAUGGCAGGCCUAAGCUAAAAAAAAAAAUAUUCAAACGACCAGCAUUGAUUUUAUUAGUCUAAUUAACAUUUAAUAUGCUUUUCACUUUUCUACUUAUUAAUGAUGCGUUUUUUGGUACACUAUGAAAAGUGAUUUACAUUUUUAUACCCAUAAUAAUUAAAGAUGUGGAUCGAGGGCCCUCAUGCGUGGAGGACUGACCCAAGGCCUCUGGACCCCACACACUGCCGCGCCUCACCAAGGCCUUGGCCUCACCCACCGACCACUCCCCACCAGCCUCUAACACUGCCCACUUUCUCUCCUCCUGUGUUCACUUGACAUCUUACAACAAAACUCAAAAGGGAAUAGCAAGUCACAUUUCCAAGAACAGUUCAAAGUCAACGGGUCCCCUGGGUGGGCCGAGGUACAGGCUGGUGGUGAUGUGCCUGCCCAGCGCCUCCAUCUCAGUGUUGUGAAGUUCAACCCUUGGUUAGUCUUCUGAUCGGAGAAUGAGUGCCUGUUCAACCUCACAGCAAUGUAUGUAUAUCACUUAAGGAUAAAAAUUAUAAAAAAAAAAUAACAGAUAUGUAGGCCAUUGUAUUUGUGAACCGGUUUGAUUGACUUAGUUGUUGUAUUGUCAUGAAUGGUUAUGAUUUUACGGAUAUUUAUGUACAAAUAAUUUAAGUUUUUAUGUGGCGAGGUGGUGCUAUGUGUGUGUGGCGAUGUAUUAUAUGAAGCCAAUAAAAUGUGAGGUCUC